Molecule: long non-coding RNA, 932 nt
Filed under: Brassica rapa (field mustard)
Lineage: Eukaryota; Viridiplantae; Streptophyta; Magnoliopsida; Brassicales; Brassicaceae
Description: long non-coding RNA (BRAP_LNC007375)
Source: RNAcentral
AAGUAUUCAACCAUUAUAUUAAUGAAAACUCAUAUUUUUCUUGUUUUAUCUAAAAAUCUCAACAUACAAAAUGCCACAACCCCGUUGAAACCUUAAGGAAAUGUGCUUCUGAACAAUUCGAGUAUCAGACACGUUUGGGUUUGAGUCGAGCUUGACUCCGACCUAUAAGGUCGUCCUUCUCCGUUUCUUUUGUUGUCACUUUUGGUCUCUCGAUGUUGUUCUUGUUGCUAUCUCGUCGGUCUUUUGCCUCUGGUUACUUAGACUCGCCGAUUCUCCUCGCUUCACCACCGUCUCUCACCUUAUAGUGCGAGUCAUUACUGCAGUAUGCAGUCUUCUACAUGUAUUCACUCCGAACUAUGACAGUAUCAGGUGGCUCUCUCCUCCUCUGUGGCAAUAUGAAGAAUUAGUGUUUGAUAUAUCCACUCAGUCGUUGAAUCUUGGUGUUUUUUCAACAUUUUCCUUUAUGGAACUUGUUUUCUUCCUAUACUGAUCUCCACUUGUGUUUAGUGGUGAUGUUGCAGGAAGUAUUGUGUUCGAAGCUUACAGACACUUUGUUGUCUGAUUUUUCGUAAAGGCUUAGCCAAAUGGUCUCUUGUCACCUAUGCUUUAACAGCCGAAUUCAUGAUUGUUUACUCAACACUUAGUGUAGUUCCAAUCUUGGAUUUUAGAGCACUCUACAUGCUAUCUAAAUCCCUUUGCAGCAUUUCAAACCUUUGUAUUAUUGGCGUCGAGGGUAGAUGACUCCUCCACGACUUUAGUUUCUUAGCUAUGGUGUUUGCUCUUAUCCUUUGUGUGUUUGUUAUCCACUUUGUUAUAGCGGUUUGUUUAGCCGGUUUGGCAUUUUCGUCAAUUCUCAUCUACUUUGAACAAUUGCUCCAUGGAUGGAGUUUAAUGAUCUAUAAAAUUUAGGUUUGUCCAAAAAAAAAAAAGAC